Glycine soja is the source of this 498-nucleotide long non-coding RNA. RefSeq lists it as uncharacterized. NCBI's taxonomy places the organism in Eukaryota, Viridiplantae, Streptophyta, Magnoliopsida, Fabales, Fabaceae. The record is from RefSeq and is a predicted model, not a curated record. The transcript is spliced from 5 exons.
UGAGUUGUGCUUAAAGUGGCUUGAUUCUUGGAGUAACACAAUGGUGAUAAUCAUUCAUGUAUGCUAAUACAAUCAUUGCUUAUUGAUUAGUCUCCACCAUAAGCAGAUUUGUAAACACCAAAUUUUGAAGCCUCUGUCCUUAAUGAAGCCAUAGUCUAUGAUUGAAUUGAGUCGCACCCAAGAUGAAGAAGUUGGAGAUGGGACAACAUCAGUCAUCAUUCUUGUUAUAUGCCGAGCUUAUAACAAAGCUUUGGAGGAUGCCAUUAUUGUCCUUUGAUAAAAUUGCUAUGCCCAUUGAUGCCAAAGAUCGAGGUAUUGGAGAUAGUCAACAGCUGCAUAGGUACCAAAUUCACUAGUCAAUUUGGGGAUUUAGUUGCUGUGAGUAUCCUCUACCCCAUGGUCAAGAUUUUUAAAUUUCAAAUUUGUCUUUGUUCUUUUAUCUUUAUUUUGAGUUGUGAAAAUUCACUACAUGAGGGCCCCACCUACUUGGGGUUGGGA